This 269-nucleotide unclassified non-coding RNA is filed under the name plant metagenome. RNAcentral's name for it is "partial contains small subunit ribosomal RNA, internal transcribed spacer 1, and 5.8S ribosomal RNA". The record is from RNAcentral.
UUUCCGUAGGUGAACCUGCGGAAGGAUCAUUAAUGAGUUGUCAUGGGGUUCGAUGCUGGCAGCCAAUUUUUGGAUGCAUGUGCUUGCCCUAACAAUCAUCUUCCAAACACCUGUGCACAUUUUCGAGGGAGUCUUGAGUUGGUUGCCGCUCUUGGGUGAUUUUCUCACAUUCCCUUAAAUCAUUAUACGCUAUUAACAAUGAUGAACGUGCUCUGUGCCGCAAGGCUAUUAAUAUAAUACAACUUUUAACAACGGAUCUCUUGGCUCUC